GACCUCGGGCUACACACGUGCUACAAUGGUUGGUACAACGAGUUGCGAGUCGGUGACGGCGAGCUAAUCUCUUAAAGCCAAUCUCAGUUCGGAUUGUAGGCUGCAACUCGCCUACAUGAAGUCGGAAUCGCUAGUAAUCGCGGAUCAGCACGCCGCGGUGAAUACGUUCCCCGGGCCUU
RNAcentral lists this ribosomal RNA (179 nucleotides) under uncultured Streptococcus sp. RNAcentral describes it as "partial 16S ribosomal RNA". It matches the Rfam family "Bacterial small subunit ribosomal RNA", at positions 1205 to 1382 of the family's 1533-position model. Lineage: Bacteria; Bacillati; Bacillota; Bacilli; Lactobacillales; Streptococcaceae. The record is from RNAcentral.